RNAcentral lists this ribosomal RNA (495 nucleotides) under uncultured bacterium. RNAcentral describes it as "partial 16S ribosomal RNA". It matches the Rfam family "Bacterial small subunit ribosomal RNA", at positions 30 to 507 of the family's 1533-position model. The record is from RNAcentral.
UGACCGCUGGCGGCGUGCCUAAUACAUGCAAGUCGAGCGAACAGACGAGGAGCUUGCUCCUCUGACGUUAGCGGCGGACGGGUGAGUAACACGUGGAUAACCUACCUAUAAGACUGGGAUAACUUCGGGAAACCGGAGCUAAUACCGGAUAAUAUAUUGAACCGCAUGGUUCACUAGUGAAAGACGGUUUUGCUGUCACUUAUAGAUGGAUCCGCGCCGCAUUAGCUAGUUGGUAAGGUAACGGCUUACCAAGGCAACGAUGCGUAGCCGACCUGAGAGGGUGAUCGGCCACACUGGAACUGAGACACGGUCCAGACUCCUACGGGAGGCAGCAGUAGGGAAUCUUCCGCAAUGGGCGAAAGCCUGACGGAGCAACGCCGCGUGAGUGAUGAAGGUCUUCGGAUCGUAAAACUCUGUUAUUAGGGAAGAACAAAUGUGUAAGUAACUAUGCACGUCUUGACGGUACCUAAUCAGAAAGCCACGGCUAACUACGUG